Molecule: microRNA precursor, 70 nt
Organism: Cricetulus griseus (Chinese hamster)
Lineage: Eukaryota; Metazoa; Chordata; Mammalia; Rodentia; Cricetidae
Source: Ensembl
GGAGUCGCGCUCGCGCUCGCGCUCCACCAACGCGGCGGCGUCCCGGCGCGAGCGGGAGCGCGCCUCGUCC